RNAcentral lists this ribosomal RNA (479 nucleotides) under Theileria sinensis. RNAcentral describes it as "SSU rRNA". It matches the Rfam family "Eukaryotic small subunit ribosomal RNA", at positions 525 to 1043 of the family's 1831-position model. The record is from RNAcentral. Lineage: Eukaryota; Apicomplexa; Aconoidasida; Piroplasmida; Theileriidae.
UUAUCCAUCCUUCCGAGUUCAAUUGGAGGGCAGUCUGGUGCCAGCAGCCGCGGUAAUUCCAGCUCCAAUAGCGUAUAUUAAAAUUGUUGCAGUUAAAAAGCUCGUAGUUGAAUUUCUGCUGCAUCGUCGCAUCUCUUGCUGAGUGCUUCGUUUCGGCUUAUUUCGGAUUGAUUUUUUCUUUCCGGAUGAUUACUUUGAGAAAAUUAGAGUGCUCAAAGCAGGCUUUUGCCUUGAAUAGUUUAGCAUGGAAUAAUAAAGUAGGACUUUGGUUCUAUUUUGUUGGUUUUAGGUACCAAAGUAAUGGUUAAUAGGAACAGUUGGGGGCAUUCGUAUUUAACUGUCAGAGGUGAAAUUCUUAGAUUUGUUAAAGACGAACUACUGCGAAAGCAUUUGCCAAGGAUGUUUUCAUUAAUCAAGAACGAAAGUUAGGGGAUCGAAGACGAUCAGAUACCGUCGUAGUCCUAACCAUAAACUAAUAA